This 497-nucleotide ribosomal RNA is filed under the name uncultured bacterium. Its description in RNAcentral is "partial 16S ribosomal RNA". It matches the Rfam family "Bacterial small subunit ribosomal RNA", at positions 28 to 507 of the family's 1533-position model. The record is from RNAcentral.
GAUGAACGCUGGCGGCGUGCCUAAUACAUGCAAGUCGAGCGAACAGACGAGGAGCUUGCUCCUCUGACGUUAGCGGCGGACGGGUGAGUAACACGUGGAUAACCUACCUAUAAGACUGGGAUAACUUCGGGAAACCGGAGCUAAUACCGGAUAAUAUAUUGAACCGCAUGGUUCAAUAGUGAAAGACGGUUUUGCUGUCACUUAUAGAUGGAUCCGCGCCGCAUUAGCUAGUUGGUAAGGUAACGGCUUACCAAGGCGACGAUGCGUAGCCGACCUGAGAGGGUGAUCGGCCACACUGGAACUGAGUCACGGUCCAGACUCCUACGGGAGGCAGCAGUAGGGAAUCUUCCGCAAUGGGCGAAAGCUUGACGGAGCAACGCCGCGUGAGUGAUGAAGGUCUUCGGAUCGUAAAACUCUGUUAUUAGGGAAGAACAAAUGUGUAAGUAACUAUGCACGUCUUGACGGUACCUAAUCAGAAAGCCACGGCUAACUACGUG